RNAcentral lists this ribosomal RNA (405 nucleotides) under uncultured bacterium. RNAcentral describes it as "partial 16S ribosomal RNA". It matches the Rfam family "Bacterial small subunit ribosomal RNA", at positions 28 to 526 of the family's 1533-position model. The record is from RNAcentral.
GAUGAACGCUGGCGGCGUGCCUAAUACAUGCAAGUCGAACGACGCGUGGACGCGUGUGUAACAUGUGUCUAACCUCCUAUAAGACUGGGAUUACUUCGGGAAACCGGUGCUAAACCGGCUACUUAUAGAUGGUUCCGCGAUGCAUUAGCUAGUUGGUAAGGUAACGGCUUACCAAGGCAACGAUGCAUAGCCGACCUGAGAGGGUGAGCGGCCACACUGGAACUGAGACACGGUCCAGACUCCUACGGGAGGCAGCAGUAGGGAAUCUUCCGCAAUGGGCGAAAGCCUGACGGAGCAACGCCGCGUGAGUGAUGAAGGUCUUCGGAUCGUAAAACUCUGUUAGUAGGGAAGCGGUACCUAAUCAGAAAGCAACGGCUAACUACGUGCCAGCAGCCGCGGUAAUAC